RNAcentral lists this ribosomal RNA (253 nucleotides) under uncultured bacterium. Its description in RNAcentral is "partial 16S ribosomal RNA". It matches the Rfam family "Bacterial small subunit ribosomal RNA", at positions 524 to 776 of the family's 1533-position model. The record is from RNAcentral.
UACAGAGGUCUCAAGCGUUGUUCGGAUUCAUUGGGCGUAAAGAGCGUGUAGGCGGCCCGGUAAGUCCGCUGUAAAAGUCAAAGGCUCAACCUUUGAAUGUCAGUGGAUACUGCCGGGCUAGAGUCCGGAAGAGGCGAGUGGAACUCCUGGUGUAGCGGUGGAAUGCGCAGAUAUCAGGAAGAACACCAACGGCGAAGGCAGCUCGCUGGGACGGUACUGACGCUGAGACGCGAAAGCGUGGGGAGCGAACAGG